Molecule: long non-coding RNA, 409 nt
Organism: Anopheles darlingi
Lineage: Eukaryota; Metazoa; Arthropoda; Insecta; Diptera; Culicidae
Exons: 5
Source: RefSeq, a predicted model, not a curated record
GUCGUCAAAGACCAAGGUGUUUAGAUAGAGAGGUGUCGUCAAAAACCAAGGUGUUUAGAUAGAGAGGUGUCGUCAAAGACCAAGGUGUUUAGAUAGAGAGGUGUCGUCAAAAACCAAGGUGUUUAAAAUAGAGAGAUGGCGUCAAAAACCAAGGUGUUUAGAUAGAGAGAUGGCGUCAAAAACCAAGGUGUUUAGAUAGAGAGGUGUCGUCAAAGACCAAGGUGUUUAGAUAGAGAGGUGUCGUCAAAGACCAAGGUGUUUAGAUAGAGAGGUGUCGUCAAAAACCAAGGUGUUUAAAAUAGAGAGAUGGCGUCAAAAACCAAGGUGUUUAGAUAGAGAGAUGGCGUCAAAAACCAAGGUGUUUAGAUAGAGAGGUGUCGUCAAAGACCAAGGUGUUUAGAUAGAGAGG